AGUGUACGCUGGCGGUAGGCCUAACACAUGCAAGUCGAACGGCAGCACAGUAAGAGCUUGCUCUUACGGGUGGCGAGUGGCGGACGGGUGAGGAAUACAUCGGAAUCUACUUUUUCGUGGGGGAUAACGUAGGGAAACUUACGCUAAUACCGCAUACGACCUACGGGUGAAAGCAGGGGAUCUUCGGACCUUGCGCGAUUGAAUGAGCCGAUGUCGGAUUAGCUAGUUGGCGGGGUAAAGGCCCACCAAGGCGACGAUCCGUAGCUGGUCUGAGAGGAUGAUCAGCCACACUGGAACUGAGACACGGUCCAGACUCCUACGGGAGGCAGCAGUGGGGAAUAUUGGACAAUGGGCGCAAGCCUGAUCCAGCCAUACCGCGUGGGUGAAGAAGGCCUUCGGGUUGUAAAGCCCUUUUGUCGGGAAAGAAAAGCAGCAGGUUAAUACCCCGCUGUUCUGACGGUACCCAAAGAAUAAGCACCGGCUAACUUCGUG
RNAcentral lists this ribosomal RNA (492 nucleotides) under uncultured bacterium. Its description in RNAcentral is "partial 16S ribosomal RNA". It matches the Rfam family "Bacterial small subunit ribosomal RNA", at positions 29 to 507 of the family's 1533-position model. The record is from RNAcentral.